AAUCAAAAAAGGAAAAAAUUCAUUCCGGUUGCAAUUCUGCUGCUGCCAUUUCCAAUUCUUAAUUCUCAAGUUUGAACCAAAUGGGCCUUAAAUCUUAUCCAAUAGUUGGAAGCUUAUGCGUUCAAUGUGCAUUGAGUUUGUUAAAUAAUUUCAAGAAGAAAAAUAUUGAUGUGUUGAUGACAAAACAAAUGAAAUCAGCCUAGAGAACUGUUCAUUUGAAAUGCUAGUGCAUACCUGUUAGUGUUCAUUGAUACAACAAAGCAUAACACAAGCAUGACAUGCCAGUAAUAGCAGACAAGCAAUGCCAUUUACAUGUCAACCUAAUCAGGACACCAAAACAUUGUGAUCCUCCAAAACUUAUCAGUGACAGUUUUAUCAUUCCCUCUGGAACGUAUCAUCACACAUAAAAACUGGAAAUCAAAGAAAAAGAAUGCCUCUUCAAGCUCAUUCAUUCUCCAAUAUGGUUGUACCCCACCUUCUUGCUACGUACCUUAAUGUGCUUCAUGCAAUAGGAACAACCCACAUAGUCGGAGACACUGAUGGAUGGACACUCUUCACCAAUUCCUCCAACUGGGUCCAGGGAAAAGACUUUCACGUUGGCGAUGUCCUUGGUAAGUUUACAUGCACAAAUGAACAGUUCCAGGCAUAUGCAGACACUCUCACACGAACAGAACACACAGAAUUGUCGAUCAUGUACAGAGUUUCUAAGCUGACAUUUAUAUUCUGCAACUACAUAAACAGGUUAUUUUUUAAAUUGUUGCAAUUAUCAAGAAUGACGUUUUGCCACAUAUAUCUUAUCCUCGCAGAGUUCAAUUACGAAACAGGCUUGCACAAUGUGAUGCAAGUGAAUUCAACAGCCUAUGAAGGAUGCAUAAAAGACACGUACAUGGGACUGUUUACAGGCGGUAAUGACUCGCUGUUCUUAUCAGAGGUUGGCCGAAUCUGGUUCAUAUGUGGAGUAAGUGAUCACUGUGAAAAUGGCCAGAAGUUGACCAUCAAUGUGGUUCCAUAGAUUUGGAGGAACACCAGAACACGUGCCCAUAUUAGUUUCUUGAAUUCCUUGAAUAAAUCAAACUGCUGUUUCUUAAGAGUUCUCCAAAUAAAACACAAAUCUCACAAACUGAGGAAGUUUCAGUUUUUCUGUUACAAAAAAUGUCAUGCAAUAACCAGACAUUCUUGGUCAACACAAAUUAUAGAGAUGCACACCCACCCCUCUCUCUCUCUCUCUCUCUAGAGAGAGAGAGAGAGAGAGGGGUGGGUGUGCAUCUCUAUAAUUUGUGUUGACCAAGAAUGUCUGGUUAUUGCAUGACAUUUUUUGUAACAGAAAAACUGAAACUUCCUCAGUUUGUGAGAUUUGUGUUUUAUUUGGAGAACUCUUAAGAAACAGCAGUUUGAUUUAUUCAAGGAAUUCAAGAAACUAAUAUGGGCACGUGUUCUGGUGUUCCUCCAAAUCUAUGGAACCACAUUGAUGGUCAACUUCUGGCCAUUUUCACAGUGAUCACUUACUCCACAUAUGAACCAGAUUCGGCCAACCUCUGAUAAGAACAGCGAGUCAUUACCGCCUGUAAACAGUCCCAUGUACGUGUCUUUUAUGCAUCCUUCAUAGGCUGUUGAAUUCACUUGCAUCACAUUGUGCAAGCCUGUUUCGUAAUUGAACUCUGCGAGGAUAAGAUAUAUGUGGCAAAACGUCAUUCUUGAUAAUUGCAACAAUUUAAAAAAUAACCUGUUUAUGUAGUUGCAGAAUAUAAAUGUCAGCUUAGAAACUCUGUACAUGAUCGACAAUUCUGUGUGUUCUGUUCGUGUGAGAGUGUCUGCAUAUGCCUGGAACUGUUCAUUUGUGCAUGUAAACUUACCAAGGACAUCGCCAACGUGAAAGUCUUUUCCCUGGACCCAGUUGGAGGAAUUGGUGAAGAGUGUCCAUCCAUCAGUGUCUCCGACUAUGUGGGUUGUUCCUAUUGCAUGAAGCACAUUAAGGUACGUAGCAAGAAGGUGGGGUACAACCAUAUUGGAGAAUGAAUGAGCUUGAAGAGGCAUUCUUUUUCUUUGAUUUCCAGUUUUUAUGUGUGAUGAUACGUUCCAGAGGGAAUGAUAAAACUGUCACUGAUAAGUUUUGGAGGAUCACAAUGUUUUGGUGUCCUGAUUAGGUUGACAUGUAAAUGGCAUUGCUUGUCUGCUAUUACUGGCAUGUCAUGCUUGUGUUAUGCUUUGUUGUAUCAAUGAACACUAACAGGUAUGCACUAGCAUUUCAAAUGAACAGUUCUCUAGGCUGAUUUCAUUUGUUUUGUCAUCAACACAUCAAUAUUUUUCUUCUUGAAAUUAUUUAACAAACUCAAUGCACAUUGAACGCAUAAGCUUCCAACUAUUGGAUAAGAUUUAAGGCCCAUUUGGUUCAAACUUGAGAAUUAAGAAUUGGAAAUGGCAGCAGCAGAAUUGCAACCGGAAUGAAUUUUUUCCUUUUUUGAUU
RNAcentral lists this unclassified non-coding RNA (2464 nucleotides) under Hevea brasiliensis (rubber tree). Lineage: Eukaryota; Viridiplantae; Streptophyta; Magnoliopsida; Malpighiales; Euphorbiaceae. The record is from RNAcentral.